GGCGGUCCCUGCGGCCGCUUCUCAUCGCCUUCCCUUUCUCCGGGAGGUGCUCGUCGAGGCCGCGUGAGGGGGAUUGCUGGAGCGGAACUACCAAGCAGAAGCAGGCAUUGCACUGUCAGUUGUCAUCAGGUUUGCAAUCAGAUUGGAAAAGCUGAACUUGAAGCUUCCUGCCUGCAGUGAGGCCGAGAGAUACCUACUGCUCGCAUAAUAAAAGACAUGAGCUUCAACGUGACUCUCCACCUUUCCUAUAAAUUCCGAUUACUGUUGCUCUUUACUUUAUGCCUGACGGUGGUUGGGUGGGCCACCAGUAACUACUUUGUGGGUGCUAUUCAAGAGAUUUCUAAAGCAAAGGAUCUCAUGGCUAGUUUGAACAAGGGUGUAGUUUUGGGGAAGAAAGGAACUGUGACAGAGGAAGCCUCUGUGAAAAAAGCAGACCUUAACAACUGCUCUUCUGUGUCUCCACACCUCAAAGGCCAGAACAAGCUCGUUUUCAAACCAGAUCUCACUCUGGAAGAAGUACAGGCAGAAAACCCCAAGGUGCACAGAGGCCGGUAUCACCCUGAGGAAUGCAGGGCUUUGCAGCGGGUCGCCAUCCUCAUCCCUCACCGGCACAGAGAGAAGCACCUGCUGUACCUGCUAGAACACCUUCACCCCUUCUUGCAGAGGCAGCAGCUGGAGUAUGGCAUCUAUGUCAUCCACCAGGCUGGAAGUAAAAAGUUUAAUCGCGCCAAACUCCUGAAUGUGGGCUAUCUAGAAGCUCUCAAGGAUGAAAUUUGGGACUGCUUCAUAUUCCAUGAUGUGGACCUGGUGCCCGAGAACGAUUUGAACCUUUACAAGUGUGAGGAUCAGCCCAGGCAUCUGGUGGUUGGCCGGAACAGCACUGGGUACAGGUUACGUUACAGUGGGUAUUUUGGGGGUGUUACCGCCCUAAGCCGAGAGCAGUUUUUCAAGGGUUGAGCUUCAUAGAAUGAAAAUAACCCGGCCACUGCCUGAAGUGGGUAAAUAUACUAUGAUCUUCCACAAGAGAGACCAAGGCAAUGAGGUGAAUAUAGAACGGAUGAAGCUCUUACAUCAGGUGUCACGUGUCUGGAGAACAGAUGGGUUGAGCAGUUGUGAUUAUAAAUUACUCUCUGUGGAUUACAAUCCUUUAUACGUCAACAUCACAGUGGAUUUCUGGUCUGGCCCAUGACCCUGGCUCUUCUGCUGACAUUUGGAGGAACUGAGUAUUUGAUUGCAAUAAUUUUGGCCUAGAGACUUCCCCUAGUAGCACACAUUAAGAACUUGUUGCAGCCAGUUAUUGAGCUGAUUCUCCCUCUUUCAUAUUUCCUUAGCAGAACUCCUGGUGAUACAGAAUGUAAAACAAUUGUUUUGAUCAUGAGGGUUAAAUAUUGUAAUGUAGAUACUUGAAGGACUAAGUAUAAAAGGACCACUCAGAAGAUGCCAUGAAGGCUAUUUGAGAACUCUGAUUGAAGGAGAUUUAUUUAAGUUUGAAGUGACACAUAUUUUCUGGGAUAAAAAAUGCCACAGGAGAUAAGAUUGCUGAAUGUCCCAGAGAACCAGGAAAGGGUUGAAGAUAUAUUUCUGUUACUCAUUUAUCCUGCAUGGUCAUCUGGGAAGAGGUGGGUCCCGGGUGAGAUGAAGGCCGAAGAAGAGGGGAGAAAGGUGAAGAAUGAAGAUGCCACGAACUUGGGACCGAAGAGGUGGCAGAAGGACCGCAUCAGGCGGAGAGCAGCUGCGGUGGUUGUACUGUUGCUAUGGCUGCUGCCCUGCGGCAGGUGUCACCUGCCCAGAUACACCUUCCAGUAACAUUUUAUCUACUAGUUUUUAGAACAUUUUUGUAAAAUGAUUUUGUACGUGUAGGAUAUGAAGUAGCAGUUUACAAAUUACAUAUUAACUAAUAAUACAUCGGAAGUACCUCUGUAGUAAAAUAUGAAAAAGCUUUGGGUGGUCAAUCUUGUUUUUUACUAUUGUUUUGUUACCAAACCAAACUUGGGUCCGCUUGCCCACAUGCAGUGAAGCCAAUCUACAGACACUGCGUUGUGGUGAAGGAAAGCACAGCGUUUACUGCAGGCGCCAAGCAAGGAGU
Non-coding RNA from Delphinapterus leucas (beluga whale), 2086 nucleotides. Lineage: Eukaryota; Metazoa; Chordata; Mammalia; Artiodactyla; Monodontidae. The record is from RefSeq and is a predicted model, not a curated record.